UCACUGCUGUCGUGCGCAGCGAGCUAUAUAAGACCAGGUACAGCGGCACAAGCCGCUUUCGUGUCGAGAAUGGAUAAGUAGGAGUGUGAAGCGUGGAAAGCCGCAGCAAACAUUACAUGAAGUGAGAUGACAUGCCAUGUUCACUUCACCACCUACACAUCUCUAUCAACCCCAGGAUGUGUUAAUGUUCAAUUGAAAUCUUAAAAUUUCGCCAACAUCAGACUUCAGUAUUAAAGCCAUGAAUGACAUGUGCCAGGCAGUCAUGUGCUAUUGCAAAUAUCAUCUUUGCAGUUCAUCUUAGUAACAAAGACUGAAUCAACUGUUUUCUCCAGGGAUACUGGUUUGAGAUGGUCGGCUCCAGUAGAAAAUAAAAAAUUUGUCAAAUCAAAAUUAUAUUUCACCAUGUUUGAUGUAUAAACAUACGAAACAGUGUAGAGUGUGCAUACUAGGGGAGAGCUCUUGUGCUAUUGACUCUCUUAGGGUAGCACCCCAACCCGAUAAAUGUAUUUAAGAAAACUAUAAGCUAUAAAAAUAUAUGCUAUAUGUAUUUGUAGAUGGUGUUGUACAUAAAUUGUGCCGUGAAAGAACUGUGACCAAGAAGAAAACUGUGUAUGAAUAAAAGAACUGUGCAAGAAGACUAAUAUGUGAAGAAAGAACUGUGCUAAGAAGAAAACUGUGUGUGAAUAAAAGAACUGUGCUAAGAAGAAAACUGUGUGUGAAUAAAAGAACUGUGCAAGAAGACUAAUAUGUGAAGAAAGAACUGUGCCUCUCUUAAAGCUGAAUGUGAGAAAUUUGUUACAUAAUGAACUACAUGCUCUCUUGCUUCUUAAGAGGGGGGAGGGGCCAGUCAGAUGAGUCACACAGCAGAGAUCUUAGUGUGAACCAUCUGCACCUGUUAUGAGGCGGGGACAACUGUCCCAACUUCCUGUAGUACAGUUCUUAAUGUAAAAACAUAACAACAAAGGAAUUCACAGUUCUCACUUACGAUAAUUAUUUUAUUGUACUCCCACUCCCACUCCCACUCCCACUCCUACUCCUGCUCCCACUACCUUACUUCCCUUUCUGCCAGUCAACUGGACUGCAGUGGGUGAGGAUGCUAUCUUAAGUAGACUUUACACAGCACAUGUAGCACUCCCCUUGCUUGGGGAAGUUCCUCAUUAAAACCCCCAUUGUAUCUUUAUUUUGUCAAAUCAUGAUAACACAGUGUGCCUGGAAAACAGUUUAUAUAUUUGUGUGUUUCAAAUUUUCUGUGUAUGUAAAGUGAACAUAUUGGUAAAAAGAAAUUUUAAUAUUUGAAAUAGUCUCAACUUGUAGCUGGACAAUAUCUUUCACUUCAUGUAAUGUUUGUUGUAGUAAUAAAAAAUGGGGUUUCAAAUGGAA
Molecule: long non-coding RNA, 1380 nt
Organism: Schistocerca cancellata (South American locust)
Lineage: Eukaryota; Metazoa; Arthropoda; Insecta; Orthoptera; Acrididae
Exons: 4
Source: RefSeq, a predicted model, not a curated record